UUUUUUUUUUUUUUGUAAUUCUACGGAAGAACGAAAAUGUGAAAGAUGGAGAUCUGAAAAACAAGUUAAAUCGCUUAUUACUCUUUCAAAUCUAAGCAGAAAAGGGAGUCCUACAAACCUGACCAACAUUUCGGCUGAUGGCAACUACAAUUCUCAAUUUCUUCCAAUGAGUAAAUCUUCUAAUCGUAUUAUAAGAAACUUUAUUGAUGAAAUAGCAGAAGAAUCACUAAAAUAAAGUACAACAAAAUAGCAGCUCCUCGCACAAUUAUCAAUCAUCCAGUAGUCAUUCCUAUCAAUGUUACACCUUCACUCCCUGUCUAUGGACACUAAUCCUUUACCAAAGUAUAAGAGCUGGAAAAAACAAUGUCAAUUUUUACAAAACAUAUGUCUCAGUUAAGGUUUAGACAUAUUAGACAACUUCAGAGAAUACCACCAACAAAUAAAAUGAUAUCAAAUGAAACAGCCAAUCUCCAAUUUCAAUUCAAAAAAUUUAAAUUCAAAAAAUCAAAACAAAUGAUAUACUGUCAUGUGAAAAUAUUACAACACAUCAUUCAAAGCCUCAAAAAGAACUAUCUUGAAUAAUAUUUGAAUAAAUUUAACAUCGACAUCUCCAUAUUGAGUGAGCAUAUAUUUAAUAUAGACGAACCGCAAAAUAAUACAAGCAUAUGCAAUUAUAAUAUCGUGUCAAAGAAAAGACAACUGCGGAGAAGUUUUCACACUAUUAAAAGGAUUCAAUUUCAAACCCCAUUGGACAUCAUUAUAUGCCAACAUACAUUCGAAUAGCAUAACCAUUUGCAUCCGUAUACUUCCCUCAUUCAAUUAGAGCUAGUGAAUUAAAACAUGAACUCGAAAAAUUGCUAUGCUUUCUGGAAUCACGUACUGAUGUACUAAUCUGUUGUGACUUUAAUGCAGGGCAUUGACCAUCGAGUCAAUAUUUCCAAAUCCUUUUUCGACUCAUCAAAUUUUUAUUCUCUCAAUAAUGAAAACUUCACCUUUAGAAAACGCUCAACUGACACAACCGGUUCUGUUCUUGAUCCGCCAUUUACGAAUACAACGUUAACCACUUCCAGGAAAGUACAACUUUUUACAUUUGGAGGAAGCCAUCAUUACCCCAUAGUCAUAAAUAUUGUUAUCAGCAAUAUUACAAACCAAAGGAAAUGUUGUUUAAAUCUGUGAACAACACAAAUAUUAAGCCCCGCUUUGAUGAUAUACAUGCACCUUCAAGGAUGAAAUAAACAAAUCUACAUUUAUUUUUAAAAAAUAACCGAUUUCCAAAACUUUGGUGGGACUCUGUCGUAGAAAAACCCACAGACUUCAGCUCGCAGCUCAAAAAACAUACGAUAUGUUCAACAACAACAUAAAUGCUUGUAAACUUAUUGAGGCUAACAAAGCUUUUAAUAAUGCUGUUAAAUUUGCCAAAAGGAAUUUCUUUAAAACCAAAAUUCAGGAUCUUAACAACGAACCACACUCUAAAGCACUUUUUAAAUUCGUUCGCGCCCAUUUUUAAAACAAAAUGGCCUUCUGAAAAUGAUAAACAGUUUUUUAUCCAUCUUAGAGAUCAAGUUCCCAAUAAUGCAAGUCACGUGUACAAGUUCAAACACAUCGCCAAGUUUUUCAACAGAAAGAAUUUGAAAAUGUGGCGUUACCUAUGAAAUGGUUAACCAUUUGUCUGACACGGUAAACAUAACUUACUAAGAACUAUGAACAAUGAUUGGAAAGAUUGCCAUUUUUUGAGGAAUGGAGACAAAUCAAAAUUGUCCCCAUCCCAAAACAAGACAGACAUGAAAAUAAUCACAAACUACAGGCCAAUCGCUUUGAUAACAGUUUUCGCCAAAAUUAUUAACUUGAUGGUUAAGGAAAAACUUCAGACUUUUUUAGAUCAAAAUAACAUAUUUCCCCACAACACAUAUGCAUAUGGGAAAAAUCUAUCCGCCUCUAUGUGAAUAAAUGAUUUGAUACAUACAAUAUAUUAUUAUAAAGAGCAAGGUGAUAAAGUCAUCAUUGUAUCUUUAGAUUGAUAUAAUUAUGUGGAUCACCAAUUUCUUAAAAAAGGAUCUUAAUAAUGGGAAAUGAAAGUCUAGAGAUUAAUAAUGGUCUACCUCAAGGAAGCUGCCUAAGCCCCACUUUGUUUAGCAUUUAUACGCUGGGCUUACAUGAUAUAAACAACCAAUGCAUAAAAACUUGUCAGUUUGCACCACACAAAGAUUUUGACAGGCUAACAAUAUUCUUCAAAGCAAGAUUAAUGAAUUCGUUAAAAUAUUAAAAUCGCUUAAUCUCUCUGUGAACGCCGAUAAACCAGCUGUCAUGUAUGUGGCAAAAGGAGAUAGAAAAAUACCACAAAUAAUGUCGCAAAAAUCAUCAAAAUACCGAAUAUAGAAGGUACUGUUAUAUGGGGCUAUACGAAGACGUGGACCUGCACAGACAGUUUUCUGUCACAAACUGUAGAACCCACUACGAACUUUAAAUACCAAAUUUGAAACAAUUCCGGUGAAUAAUGCCUGUAUCGUAAUUUGUGGGCUGUAUCGUGAUUUCAACAGGCAGACAGACAGACGGACAUCGUUAAAUCGACUUAGAAUUUUAUGCUGAUUAUGAAUAAAUAUAUAUUAUAUGGGGUCUACGACGAAUAUUUAAGGAUGUUACAAACGGAAUGACAAAGUUAAUAAACCGUCCUUUCCAAUGUGGAGGGUAUAAAAAUAUCAUUUUUGACCAAUUUCACCAAAACUUGAGAAAAGUAUUAAACAAGUAACAAGUAAAAAAACAUUAAGUUCGGCCGGGCCAAACUUUUAAUACGCUCCAACUUAGGGUAAGGAAACAUUUGACAACAACCGUUAAAAUGUCGAAUAUUGGGAGGUUUCGUUAUAUGGGGGCUAUACCAAAUCGUGGACCUACACAUGCAAUGUUUCGCCAACGGAGCUAGAACCCAUUAUGACCUACAAAUACCAAUUUUUAGACCAAUCCGCGAAAAUAUGUGGCAAAAAUUAUCAAAAUACCGAAUAUAGGGAGGUACCGUUAUAUGGGGGCUAUACCAAAACGUGCACCUUUAAUUACAAUGACUCGCCACACGAACUGGGACCCAUUAUGAUCUACAACUACCAAUUUUCAGAGAAAUUCGUGAAAAAAUGUGUCAAAAAUCAUCAAAAUACCGAAUAUUGUGAGGUACCGUUAUAUGGGGACUAAACCAAAAUGGGGACCUAUACAUACAAUGUUUCGCCACACGAACUAGGACCCAUUACGACCCACAAAUACCAAUUUUUAGACAAAUCAGUGCAAAAAUGUGGCAAAAACCAUCAUAAUACCGAAUAUCGGGAGGUACCGUUAUAUGGGGACUAUACCAAAUCGUGGACUAUACCAAAUGUUUCGCUACCGGAGCUGGAACCCAUUAUGACCAACAAAUACCAAUUUUUAGACAAAUCCGUGAAAAAAUGUGGCAAAAGUAAUAAAAAUAUCGAAUAUCGAGAGGUACCUUUAUAUGGGGGCUAUACCAAAACGUGGACCUAUACAUGCAAUGUUUUGCCACACGUACAGGGACCCGUUAUGACCUACAAAUACCAAUUUUCCGACAAAUCCGUGAAAAAAUGUGGCAUAAAUCAUCAAAAUACCGAAUAUCGGGAGGUACCGUUAUAUGGGGAUUAUAUCAGAACGUGGACCGAUAUAUCUCAUUUUCAAUACCAACCAUCCUAGACACAAUACAAAUUGCUCUGCUAAAUUUUGGCGCUCUACGUCAAAUAAUGUGGGCUGUAUCGUGAUUUCAACAGACAGACAGACAGACGGACGGACAGACAGACAGACGGACAUCGUUAAUUCUUAGAAUUGUAUGCUGAUUAUGAAUAUAUAUACUUUAUGGGGUCUACGACGAAUAAUUAAGGAUGUUACAAACGGAAUGACAAAGUUAAUAUACCCUCCUUUCCAAGGUGGAGGGUAUAAAAAAGCUGUAAGUACGGCCUUGCCGAACUUUGAAUACCCUCCACCAUUUGGUACAAAUUUAACAAUUUUCAAAAAAAAUAAAAUCCCUUAAAAAUCUGUUAAAAUCUUGAAAAUACCUAAUGUAGCCG
Musca domestica (house fly) is the source of this 4052-nucleotide long non-coding RNA. RefSeq lists it as uncharacterized. The record is from RefSeq and is a predicted model, not a curated record. The transcript is spliced from 2 exons. Lineage: Eukaryota; Metazoa; Arthropoda; Insecta; Diptera; Muscidae.